UACCAGCACCCCGAGUGGUCGGGACGUUUAUUGGGCCUAAAGUAUCCGUAGCCGGUUCUACAAGUCUUCCGUUAAAUCCAGCUGCUUAACAGAUGGGCUGCGGAAGAUACUAUGGAGCUAGGAGGCGGGAGAGGCAAGCGGUACUCGAUGGGUAGGGGUAAAAUCCGUUGAUCCAUUGAAGACCACCAGUGGCGAAGGCGGCUUGCCAGAACGCGCUCGACGGUGAGGGGUGAAAGCUGGGGGAGCAAACCGG
RNAcentral lists this ribosomal RNA (253 nucleotides) under uncultured bacterium. RNAcentral's name for it is "partial 16S ribosomal RNA". It matches the Rfam family "Archaeal small subunit ribosomal RNA", at positions 474 to 727 of the family's 1478-position model. The record is from RNAcentral.